GCCCGGGUAGCUCAGUCGGCAGAGCGGCUCACUCGUAAUGAGCAGGUCAGGAGUUCGAUUCUCCUCUCGGGCU
This 73-nucleotide transfer RNA is filed under the name Acidobacteriota bacterium. RNAcentral describes it as "Acidobacteria bacterium (mine drainage metagenome) tRNA-Thr". It matches the Rfam family "tRNA". Rfam says of the family: Transfer RNA (tRNA) molecules are approximately 80 nucleotides in length. Their secondary structure includes four short double-helical elements and three loops (D, anti-codon, and T loops). Further hydrogen bonds mediate the characteristic L-shaped molecular structure. tRNAs have two regions of fundamental functional importance: the anti-codon, which is responsible for specific mRNA codon recognition, and the 3' end, to which the tRNAs corresponding amino acid is attached (by aminoacyl-tRNA synthetases). tRNAs cope with the degeneracy of the genetic code in two manners: having more than one tRNA (with a specific anti-codon) for a particular amino acid; and 'wobble' base-pairing, i.e. permitting non-standard base-pairing at the 3rd anti-codon position. Lineage: Bacteria; Pseudomonadati; Acidobacteriota. RNAcentral also lists the same sequence under 5 other names. The record is from RNAcentral.